UACAUUUGCAUCGCUUUUGGUUCCCGAUGUGCUUAUUCGGGAUUAAAAGGGAAUACGGUGUAAAUCCGUAACUGUCCCGCAGCUGUAAGCUUCAUAACGGUGUUCAAAUCAAGGCCACUUUUUCUGAUCCUUAAAAGGGAUUAUGGAUUGGGAAGGCAGAAUUACCGGAAGUAAGUCAGAAGACCUGCCAUAAGCGGUAAUAUUUC
Molecule: non-coding RNA, 206 nt
Filed under: Pedobacter sp.
Lineage: Bacteria; Pseudomonadati; Bacteroidota; Sphingobacteriia; Sphingobacteriales; Sphingobacteriaceae
Source: RNAcentral